GUACUCGCUUCGGCGGUACAUAUACUAAAACUGGAACGAUACAGAGAAGAUUAGCAUAGCCCCUGCGCAAGGAUGACACGCCGGCGCGGUAGCUCAGUGUGUU
This is a small nuclear RNA of Schistocerca cancellata (South American locust), 103 nucleotides long. Lineage: Eukaryota; Metazoa; Arthropoda; Insecta; Orthoptera; Acrididae. The record is from RefSeq and is a predicted model, not a curated record.